Molecule: ribosomal RNA, 510 nt
Filed under: uncultured organism
Description: bacterial SSU rRNA
Rfam family: Bacterial small subunit ribosomal RNA
Source: RNAcentral
ACAAGCGGUGGAACAUGUGGUUUAAUUCGAUGAUACGCGAGGAACCUUACCUGGGCUUAAAUGUGAAGUGCAUUGAUUGGAAACAAUCAUUUCCUUCGGGACCCUUUACAAGGUGCUGCAUGGUUGUCGUCAGCUCGUGCCGUGAGGUGUCGGGUUAAGUCCCAUAACGAGCGCAACCCCUAUUGUUAGUUACCAGCGCGUAAUGGCGGGGACUCUAGCGAAACUGCCGGUGUAAACCGCGAGGAAGGUGGGGAUGACGUCAAAUCAGCACGGCCCUUAUGUCCAGGGCUACACACGUGUUACAAUGGCCGGUACAGCGGGCAGCUAGGCAGCGAUGUCAUGCUAAUCCCGAAAGCCGGUCCCAGUUCAGAUUGGAGUCUGCAACCCGACUCCAUGAAGGUGGAAUCGCUAGUAAUCGCGCAUCAGCCAUGCGCGGUGAUACGUUCCCGGCCUUGUACACACCGCCCUCAAGCCAUGGAAGUCUGGGUGCCUGAAGCCGUACCGCAAGGA